This 227-nucleotide unclassified non-coding RNA is filed under the name Hevea brasiliensis (rubber tree). Lineage: Eukaryota; Viridiplantae; Streptophyta; Magnoliopsida; Malpighiales; Euphorbiaceae. The record is from RNAcentral.
CUGAUUUUGGUUUAGCAAAAGUGGGUCCUGUUGGAGACAAAACCCAUGUAUCCACCAGAGUGAUGGGAACCUAUGGGUAUUGUGCUCCUGAAUAUGCAAUGACAGGUCAGCUUACACUUAAAUCAGAUGUAUAUAGCUUUGGUGUUGUUCUUCUUGAGAUUAUUACUGGAAGGAAAGCUAUUGACAAUUCAAGAGCUGCUGGGGAGCAUAAUCUCGUUGCAUGGGCA